CUUCUUCUCUCUUAUUUCCAAAUUUCUAUCACUGGAUUUUUUCAAAGUUUAUUCAUUUGUAGAAUUCUUGCCAAGGUUGUCCGUUUGUCUAAUUCGUCUCUGGUAUAAGCUCUCAGUUGUGGUAUUCUAGAACAGAGUCCUCUGGAAGGUACAUUAUUUACUUCUACUCAGUUGUAUCAGUAAACAAUACAUGUGGUAUUUAUCACUGUGCUUAUCAAUCUUUCUAUGAGGUUGAUAUAGUCAGAGGAGAACUGAAAACCAGCAUUUACAGAGAGGGGAGCUUGAACUUGAAUUUCAUGCCACCAAGAAACAAAUGAACAAUGUAAAGAGCAGUGAUGCUGAUUGGAAAAGUUUUUAACAACUUUACAAUGUGACAUGAAUUCUCAAAUAUAAGACCCAUUUAGGUUUCUAAUUAUUUCAAUACCUAUGUGUACAUGCAUCUAGAGGGAAAAGGGAAAAGUCUUCAAGAAGCGAGUGAGCGAAUACAAUGAUCUAUUAUUACACCUCAAUGAUAUAGAUGGAGAAUCUUGAUCACAAGAAGAGGAUCCUUAUCAAAAAUCAUUAGAAGAGUGUCAUCGAAAUAAAGAAGUUGUCCAGUCAGAAAAACCUCCAACAUCAUUAUAAUUUAAGGAAGAGAAUAAUUUAUUGAAAAAUUAGAAUUAUGACCUUGUUAAGCUGCAUAAACUGAAGCAAUUCAUUGGAGAGUCAGGGAAGACCUGGCUUACUUCCGUCAAACUAAUCCUCUAUAUAUAUUAAUAGAGCUAAUAUUGGAGAACAAGUUGAAGGUUAGUUCUUUUUAGAAUUUAAUUGUCUAGGAGGAAUUUCAAUGUGACUUUGGGACAUGAUUCAAAUGUUUCAUAUUUGUUGAUACAUUUAACCGUGCACUUUUAGUUAAUUGCAGUUCAUUUUAUCAAAAGUCACAUCAUGUGGUACUACAGAAGAAAGCUGGUUCUUCUUUCCUAUCACGCACCAGAGAGGAAGUGAAGCAAUUGCUACUUAGCUUGAGGGCAAAUGAUGUUGGCGUUGUAAUUUGAGAAUGGAACAUUUAGGAAAUACUUUGUGAUCUCAAAACUUACCAGAAUGUUAAACUAGAAAUGUUUGAAGUAUCUUAUAUGAUCGAAUAAUUGAGUUAGUUGCUUAUCCAUUCUCAAAGUUCAUUUA
Non-coding RNA from Nicotiana tabacum (common tobacco), 1161 nucleotides. NCBI's taxonomy places the organism in Eukaryota, Viridiplantae, Streptophyta, Magnoliopsida, Solanales, Solanaceae. The record is from RefSeq and is a predicted model, not a curated record.